Molecule: ribosomal RNA, 465 nt
Filed under: uncultured bacterium
Lineage: Bacteria
Description: partial 16S ribosomal RNA
Rfam family: Bacterial small subunit ribosomal RNA
Source: RNAcentral
GACGAACGCUGGCGGCGUGCUUAACACAUGCAAGUCGAACGGAAAGGCCCCUUUGGGGGUUCUCGAGUGGCGAACGGGUGAGUAACACGUGCGUAACCUGCCCUUGACUUCGGGAUAACUUCAGGAAACUGGGGCUAAUACCGGAUAGGAAUCCUUGCUGCAUGGGGGGGGUUGGAAAGCUUCGGCGGUUUUUGAUGGACUCGCGGCUUAUCUGCUUGUUGGUGGGGUAGUGGCUUACCAAGGCUUUGACGGGUAGCCGGCCUGAGAGGGCGACCGGCCACAUUGGGACUUAGAUACGGCCCAGACUCCGACGGGAGGCAGCAGUGGGGAAUAUUGCACAAGGGGCGGAAGCCGGAUGCAGCAACGCCGCGGGCGGGAUGACGGCCUUCGGGUUGUAAACCGCUUUCAGAAGGGGCGAAGCUUGUGGUGACGGUACCUGCAGAAGAAGCACCGGCUAACUACGUG